Molecule: non-coding RNA, 73 nt
Organism: Schistocerca nitens (vagrant locust)
Lineage: Eukaryota; Metazoa; Arthropoda; Insecta; Orthoptera; Acrididae
Source: the annotation of a RefSeq genome assembly
GUCUGGGUGGCGCAGUGAUCAGCGCAUCUGCUUAGUAAGCAGGACAUGCAGGUUCAAAUCCUGCUCUGGCACA